CCUACGGGUGGCAGCAGUGGGGAAUAUUGGACAAUGGGCGAAAGCCUGAUCCAGCCAUGCCGCGUGUGUGAAGAAGGCCUUCGGGUUGUAAAGCACUUUCAGUGGGGAAGAAAGCCUUGGGGCUAAUACCCUCGAGGAAGGACAUCACCCACAGAAGAAGCACCGGCUAACUCCGUGCCAGCAGCCGCGGUAAUACGGAGGGUGCGAGCGUUAAUCGGAAUUACUGGGCGUAAAGCGCGCGUAGGCGGUCUGAUAAGCCGGUUGUGAAAGCCCCGGGCUCAACCUGGAACGGCAUCCGGAACUGUCAGGCUAGAGUGCAGGAGAGGAAGGUAGAAUUCCCGGUGUAGCGGUGAAAUGCGUAGAGAUCGGGAGGAAUACCAGUGGCGAAGGCGGCCUUCUGGACUGACACUGACGCUGAGGUGCGAAAGCGUGGGUAGCAAACAGGAUUAGAUACCCCAGUAGUC
This 464-nucleotide ribosomal RNA is filed under the name Vreelandella stevensii. RNAcentral's name for it is "partial 16S ribosomal RNA". It matches the Rfam family "Bacterial small subunit ribosomal RNA", at positions 338 to 795 of the family's 1533-position model. Lineage: Bacteria; Pseudomonadati; Pseudomonadota; Gammaproteobacteria; Oceanospirillales; Halomonadaceae. The record is from RNAcentral.